CGGCUCAGUAACACGUGGAUAACCUACCCUUGAGACGGGGAUAAACCCGGGAAACUGGGUAUAAUACCCGAUAGAUCUCGACUGCUGGAAUGCAUCGAGCUUGAAAGCUCCGGCGCUCAAGGAUGGGUCUGCGGCCUAUCAGGUAGUAGUGGGUGUAGCGUACCUACUAGCCUACGACGGGUACGGGUUGUGAGAGCAAGAGCCCGGAGAUGGAUUCUGAGACACGAAUCCAGGCCCUACGGGGUGCAGCAGGCGCGAAAACUUUACAAUGCUGGAAACAGCGAUAAGGGGACCUCGAGUGCCAGGUUACAAAUCUGGCUGUCGUGAUGCCUAAAAAGCAUUGCAUAGCAAGGGCCGGGCAAGACCGGUGCCAGCCGCCGCGGUAACACCGGCGGCUCGAGUGGUAACCGUUAUUAUUGGGUCUAAAGGGUCUGUAGCCGGCCGGAUAAGUCUCUUGGGAAAUCUGGCAGCUUAACUGUCAGGCUUUCACGAGAUACUGUCUGGCUCGAGGCCGGGAGAGGUGAGAGGUACUUCAGGGGUAAGGGUGAAAUCUUGUAAUCCUU
RNAcentral lists this ribosomal RNA (563 nucleotides) under uncultured Methanosaeta sp. RNAcentral's name for it is "bacterial SSU rRNA". It matches the Rfam family "Archaeal small subunit ribosomal RNA", at positions 83 to 650 of the family's 1478-position model. Lineage: Archaea; Methanobacteriati; Methanobacteriota; Methanomicrobia; Methanotrichales; Methanotrichaceae. The record is from RNAcentral.